ACACGGACCAAGAAGUCUAACAUGCAUGCAAGUUUAAGGGGCUUUGCAAACCCUGGAGGCGAAAUUAAGGUGAAGGCUAGAGUGUUGUCUAACCUAGGCAGGAUCCCAGCUCUGCGGGGCUGGGCGCACUGCCGGCCCGUCCAACAACUGGUGGCAACAUCAGUUGGGACGGAGCUAGAGCAUGCAUGUUGGGACCCGAAAGAUGGUGAACUAUGCCUGGUCAGGACGAGGCCAGAGGAAACUCUGGUGGAAGUCCGUAACGAUUCUGACGUGCAAAUCGAUCGUUGGACCUGGGUAUAGGGGCGAAAGACUAAUCGAACCAUCUAGUAGCUGG
RNAcentral lists this ribosomal RNA (334 nucleotides) under Centrobolus rubricollis. Its description in RNAcentral is "eukaryotic LSU rRNA". It matches the Rfam family "Eukaryotic large subunit ribosomal RNA", at positions 659 to 954 of the family's 3401-position model. Lineage: Eukaryota; Metazoa; Arthropoda; Diplopoda; Spirobolida; Pachybolidae. The record is from RNAcentral.